Molecule: ribosomal RNA, 252 nt
Filed under: uncultured Bacteroidales bacterium
Lineage: Bacteria; Pseudomonadati; Bacteroidota; Bacteroidia; Bacteroidales
Description: partial 16S ribosomal RNA
Rfam family: Bacterial small subunit ribosomal RNA
Source: RNAcentral
UACGUAGGGGGCAAGCGUUAUCCGGAUUUACUGGGUGUAAAGGGAGCGUAGACGGAUCGUUAAGUCAGCGGUCAAAUCGUGGGGCUCAACCCCAUCCAGCCGUUGAAACUGGGGAUCUAGAGUGUGCGAGAGGUAUGCGGAAUGCGUGGUGUAGCGGUGAAAUGCAUAGAUAUCACGCAGAACCCCGAUUGCGAAGGCAGCAUACCGGUGCACAACUGACGCUCAGGCACGAAAGCGUGGGUAUCGAACAGG